GAUGAACGCUGGCGGCGUGCCUAAUACAUGCAAGUCGAGCGAACGGACGAGAAGCUUGCUUCUCUGAUGUUAGCGGCGGACGGGUGAGUAACACGUGGAUAACCUACCUAUAAGACUGGGAUAACUUCGGGAAACCGUAGCUAAUACCGGAUAAUAUUUUGAACCGCAUGGUUCAAAAGUGAAAGACGGUCUUGCUGCCACUUAUAGAUGGAUCCGCGCUGCAUUAGCUAGUUGGUAAGGUAACGGCUUACCAAGGCAACGAUGCAUAGCCGACCUGAGAGGGUGAUCGGCCACACUGGAACUGAGACACGGUCCAGACUCCUACGGGAGGCAGCAGUAGGGAAUCUUCCGCAAUGGGCGAAAGCCUGACGGAGCAACGCCGCGUGAGUGAUGAAGGUCUUCAGAUCGUAAAACUCUGUUAUUAGGGAAGAACAUAUGUGUAAGUAACUGUGCACAUCUUGACGGUACCUAAUCAGAAAGCCACGGCUAACUACGUG
RNAcentral lists this ribosomal RNA (497 nucleotides) under uncultured bacterium. Its description in RNAcentral is "partial 16S ribosomal RNA". It matches the Rfam family "Bacterial small subunit ribosomal RNA", at positions 28 to 507 of the family's 1533-position model. The record is from RNAcentral.